CCUACGGGUCGCAGCAGUGAGGAAUAUUGGUCAAUGGGCUUACGCCUGAACCAGCCAAGUCGCGUGAGGGAAGACUGUCCUAUGGGUUGUAAACCUCUUUUGUCAGGGAGCAACGCCGGCUACGUGUAGCCGGACGGAGAGUACCUGAAGAAAAAGCAUCGGCUAACUCCGUGCCAGCAGCCGCGGUAAUACGGAGGAUGCGAGCGUUAUCCGGAUUUAUUGGGUUAAAAGGGUGCGUAGGCGGAAUGCCAAGUCAGCGGUAAAAUCGCGGGGCUCAACCUCGCUCCGCCGUUGAAACUGGUGUUCUUGAGUGGGCGAGAAGUAUGCGGAAUGCGUGGUGUAGCGGUGAAAUGCAUAGAUAUCGCGCAGAACUCCGAUUGCGAAGGCAGCAUACCGGCGCCCAACUGACGCUGAGGCACGAAAGCGUGGGUAUCGAACAGGAUUAGAUACCCGGGUAGUC
Molecule: ribosomal RNA, 460 nt
Filed under: uncultured bacterium
Lineage: Bacteria
Description: partial 16S ribosomal RNA
Rfam family: Bacterial small subunit ribosomal RNA
Source: RNAcentral